GGUGACUCAGUGGUAGAGUACUUGCCUUGCAUGCGUGAGGCCCUGGGUUCAAUUCCUCAGCACCA
This 65-nucleotide transfer RNA is filed under the name Dipodomys ordii (Ord's kangaroo rat). It matches the Rfam family "tRNA". Rfam says of the family: Transfer RNA (tRNA) molecules are approximately 80 nucleotides in length. Their secondary structure includes four short double-helical elements and three loops (D, anti-codon, and T loops). Further hydrogen bonds mediate the characteristic L-shaped molecular structure. tRNAs have two regions of fundamental functional importance: the anti-codon, which is responsible for specific mRNA codon recognition, and the 3' end, to which the tRNAs corresponding amino acid is attached (by aminoacyl-tRNA synthetases). tRNAs cope with the degeneracy of the genetic code in two manners: having more than one tRNA (with a specific anti-codon) for a particular amino acid; and 'wobble' base-pairing, i.e. permitting non-standard base-pairing at the 3rd anti-codon position. Lineage: Eukaryota; Metazoa; Chordata; Mammalia; Rodentia; Heteromyidae. The record is from Rfam by way of RNAcentral.